AGAGUUUGAUCCUGGCUCAGAAUGAACGCUGGCGGCGUGGCUAAGACAUGCAAGUCGUACGAAUACUUUAAUUGAGUAAUCGAGAAAAGUGUUAGUGGCGGAUGGAUGAGUAAUGCAUAGAUAACAUACCCCAGGCUUUGGAAUAGCUGCGGAACUUCGGUUCCUUUGCGAAAGUGCAGGUAAUACCAGAUGAUGUCCUUAAGUCGAAUGGCUUUUGGACCAAAGGGCUUCGGUACCGGCCUUGGAGUGGUUUAUGUCGUAUCAGCUAGUUGGUGAGGUAAUGGCUCACCAAGGCAUCGACGCGUAGCGGGACUGAGAGGUUGACCCGCCAUAUCGGGACUGAGACACUGCCCGGACCUCCACGGAGGGCUGCAGUAACGAAUCUUGCGCAAUGGACGAAAGUCUGACGCAGCAACGCCGCGUGUAGGACGAAGCCCCUCGGGGUGUAAACUACUGUCAGGGUGACGAAAGGUGAAGGUUGUAAUACCUGAACUUGAUCGAUCCCAAAGGAAGGUCCGGCUAACUUCGUGCCAGCAGCCGCGGUAAUACGAAGGGACCGAGCGUUAUUCGGAAUCAUUGGGCUUAAAGCGCACGUAGGCGGAAGGCUAAGUGCUUUGUGAAAUCCCCCGGCUUAACCGGGGAACUGCAGGGCAUACUGGCUUUCUUGAGGCAAGUAGGGGUACAUGGAACUCUGGGUGGAGCGGUGAAAUGCGUAGAUAUCCAGAGGAACGCCAGCGGAGAAAUCGGUGUACUGGGCUUGUUCUGACGCUGAGGUGCGAAAGCGUGGGUAGCGAACGGGAUUAGAUACCCCGGUAGUCCACGCCGUAAACGAUGCCUACUAGAUCGUGGGAGUUCUGACGCUCUCGCGGUCGAAGCAAAAGUGUUAAGUAGGCCGCCUGGGGAGUACGGCCGCAAGGCUAAAACUCAAAGGAAUUGACGGGGGCUCACACAAGCAGUGGAGCAUGUGGCUUAAUUCGAAGCAACGCGAAGAACCUUAUCCUGGGUUUGACUAUUACGGAUGCCCUUCCUGAAAGGGAAGUAAGCUGCCUUCGGGUGAAACGUAACCAGGUGCUGCAUGGCUGUCGUCAGCUCGUGUCGUGAGAUGUCGGGUUAAGUCCCUUAACGAGCGAAACCCUUAUCGUUAGUUGCCAGCGAGUAAUGUCGGGGACUCUAGCGAGACUGCCGGUGUUAAACCGGAGGAAGGCGGGGAUGACGUC
RNAcentral lists this ribosomal RNA (1217 nucleotides) under metagenome. Its description in RNAcentral is "bacterial SSU rRNA". It matches the Rfam family "Bacterial small subunit ribosomal RNA", at positions 8 to 1186 of the family's 1533-position model. The record is from RNAcentral.